RNAcentral lists this long non-coding RNA (1204 nucleotides) under Amborella trichopoda. Its description in RNAcentral is "long non-coding RNA (ATRI_LNC000401)". The record is from RNAcentral. Lineage: Eukaryota; Viridiplantae; Streptophyta; Magnoliopsida; Amborellales; Amborellaceae.
UAGGGUCAUGCAGCACAGACCGAGGCUAUACAGUUUAGGGUCAUGUAGUAUGGACCGAGGCUAGGCAGUUUAGGUUAAUGCCAUAUGGACCGAGGCUGAGCAGUAGAGGGUCAUGCAAUAUGGACCGAGGCGAAGCCGUAGGGUUCGAAAGUAAUCUCCGAGGCUGAGCGGUAAAUGAUCAUGCAGUAUGGACCAAGGCUGAGUAGUUUAGGGUCAUGCUCCAUGGGCUGAGGCAGAGUAGUUUAGGGUCAUGCAGUAUGGACCGAGACAUAGCAGUUGAAGGUCCUACAGUAUGGACCGAGGCGGAGUAAUUUAGGGUCAUGCAGUAUGGACCGAGACUGAGCCGUUUAGGGUCAUGUAGUAUGGACCGAGGCUAAAUAAUUUAUGGUCAUGCAGUAUGGUCCGAGGCUGAGCAGUUGAGGGUCACACAGUAUAUACCGAGGCAGACCAGUUUAGAGUCUUACCAUAUGGACCGUGGCCGUACAUUUUAUGGUCGUGCCACACGGAUCGAGGCUGUGCUGUUUAGGGUUAUGCAACAAAGACUGAGACUAAGGCUGAGUAGUUUAGAGUCAAGCAGUAUGGACCGAGGCUGAUCAGUUUAGGGUAGUGCCGUAUGGACCGAGCUUAAGCAGUUUAGGGUCAUACUGUAUGGUCUGAGGUCGAGUAGUUUAGAGUCAUGCAGUAUGUACCCAAGCUUUGCCGUUUAGGGUCAUGCAGUAGGUACCGAGGAUGUGAGAUUUUCUAAGAGUAUGGACCGAGUCUGAGCAGUUUAGGAUCAUGCAAGAUGGACCGUCGCCGAGCAGUUUAUGGUCAUGCAGUAUGGACCGAGGUUGAGCAGUUUGGGGCAAUGCAGUUUAAGGCUAUGCUGUUUAUGGUCAUGGAGCAUGUACCGAGGCUAUGUUGUUUAGGUUCAUGCAGUAUGGACCAUGGCAACACUGUUUACGGUCCUGCAGUGUUGACCGAGGCCGUAUGGAUUUUGGAGGAGGGAUCAUGCAGGAUGGACCGAUGCUGAGCACUUUAGGGUCAUGCAGUUGGAAUCGAGGCUGAGCAAUUUUGGGUCAUGCUGUUUGGACCGAGGCUGAGAAGUAUAAAGUCAUGCAGUAUGGAUCGAGGCCGAGCAGUUCAGCGUCUUGCCAUAUGGAACGUGGCAAAACAAUAGCAGUUUAAGGUCAUGCAGUAUGGAUUGUGGCUGUGCAGUUUAGGG